GAGUUUGAUCCUGGCUCAGAUUGAACGCUGGCGGCAUGCCUUACACAUGCAAGUCGAACGGUAACGCGGGGCAACCUGGCGACGAGUGGCGAACGGGUGAGUAAUACAUCGGAACGUACCCAGUAGUGGGGGAUAGCCCGGCGAAAGCCGGAUUAAUACCGCAUACGACCUGAGGGUGAAAGCGGGGGAUCGCAAGACCUCGCGCUAUUGGAGCGGCCGAUGUCAGAUUAGGUAGUUGGUGGGGUAAAGGCCUACCAAGCCGACGAUCUGUAGCUGGUCUGAGAGGACGACCAGCCACACUGGGACUGAGACACGGCCCAGACUCCUACGGGAGGCAGCAGUGGGGAAUUUUGGACGAUGGGCGCAAGCCUGAUCCAGCCAUGCCGCGUGCGGGAAGAAGGCC
Molecule: ribosomal RNA, 403 nt
Filed under: uncultured beta proteobacterium
Lineage: Bacteria; Pseudomonadati; Pseudomonadota; Betaproteobacteria
Also listed under: 1 other name
Description: bacterial SSU rRNA
Rfam family: Bacterial small subunit ribosomal RNA
Source: RNAcentral